Acanthosepion pharaonis is the source of this 112-nucleotide non-coding RNA. Lineage: Eukaryota; Metazoa; Mollusca; Cephalopoda; Sepiida; Sepiidae. The record is from the annotation of a GenBank genome assembly.
UUACGGUCAAAUCACGCUGAAAACACCGGUUCUCGUUCGAUCACCGAAGUUAAGCAUCGUAGAGCCAGGUCAGUACUUAGAUGGGGACCGCUUGAACACCUGGUACUGUAAG